RNAcentral lists this ribosomal RNA (603 nucleotides) under uncultured bacterium. Its description in RNAcentral is "bacterial SSU rRNA". It matches the Rfam family "Bacterial small subunit ribosomal RNA", at positions 331 to 929 of the family's 1533-position model. The record is from RNAcentral.
CCAGACUCCUACGGGAGGCAGCAGCUAAGAAUAUUCCGCAAUGGACGGAAGUCUGACGGAGCGACGCCGCGUGGAUGAAGAAGGCUGAAAAGUUGUAAAAUCCUUUUGUUGAUGAAGAAUAAGGGGAAGAGGGAAUGCUUCUCUGAUGACGGUAAUCAGCGAAUAAGCCCCGGCUAAUUACGUGCCAGCAGCCGCGGUAACACGUAAGGGGCGAGCGUUGUUCGGAAUUAUUGGGCGUAAAGGGCAUGUAGGCGGCUAUGUAAGCCUGAUGUGAAAUCCUGGGGCUUAACCCUAGAAUAGCAUUGGGUACUGUGUAGCUUGAAUUACGGAAGGGAAACUGGAAUUCCAAGUGUAGGGGUGGAAUCUGUAGAUAUUUGGAAGAACACCGGUGGCGAAGGCGGGUUUCUGGCCGAUAAUUGACGCUGAGAUGCGAAAGUGUGGGGAUCGAACAGGAUUAGAUACCCUGGUAGUCCACACUGUAAACGAUGUACACUAGGUGUUGGGGCAAGAGCUUCAGUGCCAAAGCAAACGCGAUAAGUGUACCGCCUGGGGAGUAUGCCCGCAAGGGUGAAACUCAAAGGAAUUGACGGGGGCCCGCACAAG